Non-coding RNA from Actinoalloteichus hoggarensis, 75 nucleotides. It matches the Rfam family "ASpks TB sRNA". NCBI's taxonomy places the organism in Bacteria, Bacillati, Actinomycetota, Actinomycetes, Pseudonocardiales, Pseudonocardiaceae. The record is from Rfam.
CUUCACCGAGCCCAGCCACAGCGGCCGCUCGGCGGGACGGUCCCGUCCGUAGGUCGCCAGCAGUGCCUGUGCCUC